Molecule: ribosomal RNA, 323 nt
Filed under: uncultured bacterium
Lineage: Bacteria
Description: bacterial SSU rRNA
Rfam family: Bacterial small subunit ribosomal RNA
Source: RNAcentral
GGUUAACGCUGGCGGCGUGCAUAACACAUGCAAGUCGAACGAUGAAAUUUAUUUUAAAUCUUCGGAGAUAAAAUAGAUAGAUUAGUGGCGGACGGGUGAGUAACGCGUGAGUAACCUGCCUUAGAGAUGGGGAUAGCCUCUGGAAACGGAGAAUAAUACCCAAUGACAUUACCAUUCUGCAUGGGAAGGUAAUCAAAGAUUUAUCGCUCUAAGAUGGACUUGCGUCUGAUUAGCUAGUUGGCGGGAUAAAAGCCCACCAAGGCAACGAUCAGUAGCCGGCUUGAGAGAGCGUACGGCCACAUUGGGACUGAGACACGGCCCAG